AUAAAGCGCAUUUGUCGUUGCA
Molecule: microRNA, 22 nt
Filed under: Tribolium castaneum (red flour beetle)
Lineage: Eukaryota; Metazoa; Arthropoda; Insecta; Coleoptera; Tenebrionidae
Description: Tca-Mir-11621-P2b_5p (mature (co-guide))
Source: RNAcentral